UUUUUAGGGUUCCGUAGCCAAAUGGCAAAAUACGGAACCCUUAUAGAUUCGUCAUGUCUGUCUGUCUGUCUGUCCGUCCGUAUAAUAAUUUUUUUCAUCAAAUCCAUACGUGUGGGGUAUCUAUGGAUAGGUCUUUAAAAAUGAUAUUGACGUUUCUAAUGUCAUUUUUUUGUAAACUGAAUACUUUGCGCGAGAGACACUUCCAAAGUGGUAAAAUGUGUCCCCCCCCCUGUAACUUCUAAAAUAAGAGAAUGAUAAAACUAAAAAAAAUAUAUGAUGUACAUUACCAUGCAAACUUCCACCGAAAAUUGGUUUGAACGAGAUCUAGUAAGUAGUUUUUUUUUAAUACGCCAUAAA
Long non-coding RNA from Cydia fagiglandana, 357 nucleotides. RefSeq lists it as uncharacterized. The record is from RefSeq and is a predicted model, not a curated record. NCBI's taxonomy places the organism in Eukaryota, Metazoa, Arthropoda, Insecta, Lepidoptera, Tortricidae. The transcript has 2 exons.